AUAUCACGUUGAAAUAACGGUUUCUCGAACGAUAACCGAAGUUAACCAAUGUCGAGCCUGGUCAGUACCUGGAUGGGUGACCGCUUUGGAAUUCCAGGUACUGUAAG
RNAcentral lists this ribosomal RNA (107 nucleotides) under Acanthosepion pharaonis. The record is from RNAcentral. Lineage: Eukaryota; Metazoa; Mollusca; Cephalopoda; Sepiida; Sepiidae.